This 497-nucleotide ribosomal RNA is filed under the name uncultured bacterium. Its description in RNAcentral is "partial 16S ribosomal RNA". It matches the Rfam family "Bacterial small subunit ribosomal RNA", at positions 28 to 507 of the family's 1533-position model. The record is from RNAcentral.
GAUGAACGCUGGCGGCGUGCCUAAUACAUGCAAGUCGAGCGAACAGACGAGGAGCUUGCUCCUCUGACGUUAGCGGCGGACGGGUGAGUAACACGUGGAUAACCUACCUAUAAGACUGGGACAACUUCGGGAAACCGGAGCUAAUACCGGAUAAUAUAUUGAACCGCAUGGUUCAAUAGUGAAAGACGGUUUUGCUGUCACUUAUAGAUGGAUCCGCGCCGCAUUAGCUAGUUGGUAAGGUAACGGCUUACCAAGGCAACGAUGCGUAGCCGACCUGAGAGGGUGAUCGGCCACACUGGAGCUGAGACACGGUCCAGACUCCUACGGGAGGCAGCAGUAGGGAAUCUUCCGCAAUGGUCGAAAGCCUGACGGAGCAACGCCGCGUGAGUGAUGAAGGUCUUCGGAUCGUAAAACUCUGUUAUUAGGGAAGAACAAAUGUGUAAGUAACUAUGCACGUCUUGACGGUACCUAAUCAGAAAGCCACGGCUAACUACGUG